GGGGGUGCCCCGGUUUCGACAGAUAAGAGUGAUCUUGUGCUGCAGGUGAGGCUGUCAUCUGGUCUCUGAUACAGGUGAAAACAAUAACUGCUAAACGUAGAGAAGACGAAGUGUCUGAAAACGCUCAGCAGGCUCUUGCUGCUUAAUUGUAGCUGAGCCCGGAACUUGUGGGGUGCUGUUCCUAACGCCAUGAGCUUCUGUCACAAACAGGGACUUGCCGCGGACUAUGUUCGGGUUUUUCGCGGGACUUUAUCCGAAAUACGGAGACGACGCUUUUGGGGCUGCUACCGUUUCCCGACAACCACCUCGCCCUAAUAAACCUGUAGAGGCGCCUGGCCAGCUUGUUUGGACGCGGGUUCAAUUCCCGCCACCUCCAAUU
RNAcentral lists this transfer-messenger RNA (379 nucleotides) under Treponema sp. It matches the Rfam family "transfer-messenger RNA". From Rfam's summary of the family: Bacterial tmRNA, also known as 10Sa RNA or SsrA, is named for its dual tRNA and mRNA-like properties. The record is from RNAcentral. RNAcentral also lists the same sequence under 1 other name. Lineage: Bacteria; Pseudomonadati; Spirochaetota; Spirochaetia; Treponematales; Treponemataceae.